Long non-coding RNA from Vitis riparia (riverbank grape), 3703 nucleotides. RefSeq lists it as uncharacterized. The record is from RefSeq and is a predicted model, not a curated record. NCBI's taxonomy places the organism in Eukaryota, Viridiplantae, Streptophyta, Magnoliopsida, Vitales, Vitaceae. The transcript is spliced from 7 exons.
UUUGGGUUACAUUUCCUCACACCCGACCCGAGAACCUAAAAUUUCCCAAAUACCCAAUCUUCUUCCUCUCAUUUUAGAAAAGAAACCCUAAAAACUCCAAUCUGCGUAUUUAUUUCUUCUCCAUUGUCUCAGCAACCAAACGGAGCACUUUAUCAUAAGAACACUGAGUAACUAGCCGGGUUGAAGAAGCGUAGCUGUGAGUGUGAUUUUGAUACAGCAAAGCGGACCCGAACGGAGUGUUGAAAUCCGAAAUAUUGGCUUCCUUUUGAUCAUGCUUCUGUGGUGUCCAUCAAUCUAUUUGUGGCACUCCUUUGUGGUUGCAUUGUGAUUGGUCAUCUUCUUGAGGAGAACCAGUGGGUGAAUGAGUCAAUCACUGCCCUUGUGAUUGAGUUUUUGGAGCAUCAAAGUACAAGUCUGUCAAGGUCCUAGAUGAUGCCAUUAAGUUACUUUGAGAGUAUUCCAAUAGAAACUAGAGAUCUCUUUGUUAUACACCUUCUUGAUGUUUUUGAUGACAGCAGAAGCUCAGGAUUUGGGCUAAUCAAUAAGAAGGGUUUUGGUUCUAAUGGAGAAAGCAAGUCAAACAGGAAAAGCAAAGAGAAGUCAAGGAAAAGGUUGAGGAGUUGAUCUUAGAGGUUGGAGUUCCAAAAUCACGUUUUUCUUUCUGGUCCCUGAAUCUAGAGAAGUGUGUGAAAUUCCGUGUCCUUUAACAUUAUUACCUUGAAGUUUUGUUGCAGACCCAAAACAGCUGGGGAUAAGGCCUUGUGCUGAGUACUGGUGCAAGGGGUUCUUCGUUGGGGAAGAAGAGUGUUAGAACACUCCCUUUAUAUUAAUUCCAAAGACAAACUAUUUGAAAAUUCCACCUGCAUUCAAGCAUGCAUUUAUAUGAAAUAUGCAUGUACCAUUUGGUUCUUGUUCAUUCUCCUUUGUGAACCCUAGAGGUUCAUUUAGAUGUUGAUGCUGCUGCUGCAAGGAUGGCAUCAAGAAGGGCUUGGAACUAGAUAAUCGUUUUGUCUCAAUGUGGCCAGUUUCCUUUAAUGAUUGGAGCGUCUGCAAAAUCUUGUGUCCAUGGAGACAACAAUGGAAAUUUCUCCUCAUCCCCAACUUUUAAGCCAACAAUCUCUUCCAAUAUGCUAAUCAAGUUAGCGAGCCAACCCAAGGCAAGGUCAAGAAACAUGGUCGUCUCUCCACCAAAGGACAUUUUUCCCUUCAACUUUUCUUCCAAGAACUUCAGGUGGAGAUUAAAAAUAGCUGAUAAAUAUGACAGAGGAUUCAGUGGACUUUUGAUGAAGGGCAGGUUGACGGUAAAAAAGGUGUUGGAAGUAUGAUAUUUGCCUGAAGAGCUUAGCAUACCUGUAGCAAAAAUGGGGAAAAUCUUAAUCUUGCUGUAAGUACCAUUUUGAUACCUUUGCUUAUUUUACAAAUCUGAAUCAUUGACCAAUUCAUGCUUUUCCUGCUUUUGACUUGUCCAUUAAUUUUUUUGGUUGUUGUGAAGUAACUCUUAGGUAUCAUGACAUAGCAUAAUAAGAACUGCCAUCAUUUCGCUUAUCUCGGUGUGGAGACUUCCUGAUACAAAAUUCACAUAUUCAACUUACCAACUUUCUUCUGGAUGGUUAUGUUGUCUCAAACAAUGGUAUGAAGAGGAAAUGACAAGGCCUGAAUCUUUUAUUGGGUCAAUUUGGAAAAAAUACCUACCAAAUAUAAGCCCUUUGCUUGCAUGUGUGUGCAUUGACACACAUGUGAGUGAAGAUAUAAUCUAGAGUCCAAGGACUUUGUCCUAUAUAGGUUCCUUAUAUCUUGUAAACUAGGCUUUCUAGUUUUACCUUUUAGUAAAUUUGGAUUUUGAAUUGGAUGCAACAGGCAACCAGUUACUCUAGUUGGUAAGCCAUGCAUGGAGAAAGUUGCAAAGUCAGUUUCUAAUUUAAAAAAAUAAAAAGAUAAAAAAGUUGCAAAUUCAGUUGGACGAUGAAUUUCAGGAUGACAUCUUACGUGGGAUCAUAUGUAGCACAUAUAUAUCCUGUGUAUGUACCUAUUAAGAGUAUUAGAGGCUGUAAUGCAUAUUUGCAGGUAUGUUUAUCAUAUGAUCCAUAUACACUUUUGUGUGUGUGUAUAUAUUUCGUUGACAUCUAAUGGAAUUUUGAUGUUCAUUUUUUGUAAGAAAUAUUUGAGGCACAAAAAUGUUUCAUCAUUCAUGGCCAUUGAGUUGGAAUGCCACCAAAGAUAAUAUUUGAUCACAGAUGUAGAUCAUCGAAUUCAUUAACCCACACCUUUCCUUGGGCAGCAGCUGCACAUAAGCAAGGGAUAAGCAAACAACUGGAAAUUUAGAGCAUCAAGAUCAAUGUUGUUGCUAGAACUAAUGGAUUAUUGUUAAUCAUGCUGCCAUAUUCUGGUCGGCUUUGAUUAAAUUUAGACAGAGCAUACCUGUUGCACUAUGCUCUCCAAGAUAAUCAUGCUAUAAUGACAAAUUCCGCAAUGUUCCUUAGAUUUAUCAGUAUUAAAAAAAUUUAAGAGAGUGAUAUUUAAAAUGAUUUGUUGUACAUUUGACAGAAUGAAUUAACAUAUAGGAUAAGGAUGACAUUGGGACAUAGUUAACUGAAAAAUGGAGAUUAGAAAUGCUCUGGAGUAUGAGGCAAUUGCAAAGGAAAAAUGGCCUGACAUGGUGUUUGACUAAUGUGCAUCUGGUGCAGAGGACCACUGGACUCUGUUUGAGAAUAGGCAUGUGUUUUCAAGAAUCCUUAAUCCUUUUUAUCUUUAUCCAUAAAAGCUACUGCUAAUACUAAAUCAUUCCACUAUAAACGUUUGGUUCAAUGCUUUACAUAUCAUUUAAUAUUAACAAACUUGUAGAAAUUUAUAUAGCUGUUCUUUGCAAAAUUUUCUUUUUAUUGAAUUAUAGGUUUCAACUCACAUUCUUAUUGAUGUACGCAAGAUAAACUUGGCCAAGGUCCUAUGUUGUGAGGCGAGGCACUAUUUCUUAUCUUUUAAAUAUUUACGAAAGCCUAGUUUUUCAGUAAAAAAAAAGGUGGCAGGUGGAGACGAAGGAGAGAAAAGGAGAAGGGUUCUUCAAUCACUGACUCAAAGAGAAACCUGGGAGAAUUUCCAGAAGCACAAUGACAGAAGAAUCCACCCCAACCCAUAGGCCUUCCGCUUUGAUGAUGCUCCUCUGAACCUCAAUUUUCCUUCGCUUUCCUCAGCUGCCAAACAGGUCAGACCCAUCAAUUUUCCCUCUGUUUUCUCGACUUUUCUUCCCUCAAAGCCGUGAAUAUCUGCCAUUUUUAUUUUUUUUAUUCUCUCAACUCUCUGCAACAAAAAAGAGGAAAAAAUAGGAUUUUUUGGUUGUUUUGUUUGGGGUUUGUGGAGAUUGUUGAUCGCGUUGGUGUCUGGUUUAUUUGAAAGAAAUGGGAUCGAAAGAAAAGGGGAGAAGAGGGCUGUUCAAUUUUAUCGUUCUUCUCUACCAUAGGAAUGUUUGGGGGCGAGAAUUUGAGAUGAGGCUCACUUGUUUGGUUCAGAAAUUUGGGUUUGUCUUUGUACUCGUCUGGCUUCUGAUUGGGGAUUGUUGUGAUAUUGAAUAAUUUGGCAAAUGUGAUGUGGGUUUAUCUGGAAUUUUUUUUAGUUUAGCAUUUGAUGAAUGAAAAAGGUAGAGGACAUGGAAGAAGGUGAUGAGAUUAUGCAAGAAGGAAAAUUCUAUGGUGCAAGAAUUGCACUUGUA